Molecule: long non-coding RNA, 542 nt
Organism: Lutra lutra (Eurasian river otter)
Lineage: Eukaryota; Metazoa; Chordata; Mammalia; Carnivora; Mustelidae
Exons: 3
Source: RefSeq, a predicted model, not a curated record
GGGAUCAGGACCUGAGCCAAAGUCAGAUGCUUAACUAACUGAGCCACCCAGGCACCCCUGAUCUUUUAAGUUAUAAUACAAUCACUAAAUGGCCAUGACAAAAUGGACCUUUGGAAAUGUUUUAAGGACCCUGGUGAUUAUACUGGGCCUACCUGAAUAACCCUCAAUAAUCAAGGCUCAUCUGUUUACCGAUUAGCAUCUGCAAACUUAAUUCCUCUUACCAUGUCAAGCAACAUUCACAAUUCUAAGGAUUAGGACAUGGAUAUCUUUGGAGAUAACAUCUAAGAAGUGACCACACAGGGUCCUCAUGAACUGAAUAUUUUCCAAGACCAUUGACUCGCCAAGAGCCCUGGCUCCUGGCCAUAUGUGACUUUCAGGGGACGCCUAAACACUUGUCUUUGUUCCUGGAUGCCUGAGAAGACAUGAGCACUGGACCACAACCCUCAGUAAAAAUCCCAGACCCCAAGCGAAGAUAAGACUCACUCUCCAUUCCUUUUCAAGUCUCCCAGACACUAUGUAUUUGCACUCUUUCUAGGUCUUCA